AAACCAACAGGGAUUGCCUUAGUAACGGCGAGUGAAGCGGCAAAAGCUCAAAUUUGAAAUCUAGUGCCUUUGGUACUCGAGUUGUAAUUUGAAGAAUUUUUCUCCGAACAGUCCUUUAUCUAUGUUCCUUGGAACAGGACGUCAUAGAGGGUGAGAAUCCCGUGUGAUUUUGGAUACUGUUCAUUGUGAGAUUUAUUCGAAGAGUCGAGUUGUUUGGGAAUGCAGCUCUAAGUGGGUGGUAAGUUCCAUCUAAAGCUAAAUAUUGGCGAGAGACCGAUAGCGAACAAGUACAGUGAUGGAAAGAUGAAAAGAACUCUGAAGAGAGGGUGAAAAAGUACGUGAAAUUGCUGAAAGGGAAGGGCUUUAGGUCAGACUUGGUGUUUAAUACUCAGUUCUCCUUGUGGGAGCUGCUCUUGUUUUUCACUGGGCCAAUAUCAGUUUUGGCGGUAGAGCACCUCUGGAAAUGUAGCUGCCUUCGGGUAGUGUUAUAGUCUGGGGACGAUCUACUGCUGGGACUGAGGUCUGCGCAUUGCUAGGAUAUGC
This 543-nucleotide ribosomal RNA is filed under the name Saccharomycopsis schoenii. RNAcentral's name for it is "partial large subunit ribosomal RNA". It matches the Rfam family "Eukaryotic large subunit ribosomal RNA", at positions 62 to 610 of the family's 3401-position model. The record is from RNAcentral. Lineage: Eukaryota; Fungi; Ascomycota; Saccharomycetes; Ascoideales; Saccharomycopsidaceae.